RNAcentral lists this ribosomal RNA (507 nucleotides) under uncultured spirochete. Its description in RNAcentral is "bacterial SSU rRNA". It matches the Rfam family "Bacterial small subunit ribosomal RNA", at positions 8 to 474 of the family's 1533-position model. Lineage: Bacteria; Pseudomonadati; Spirochaetota; Spirochaetia; Spirochaetales. The record is from RNAcentral.
AGAGUUUGAUCCUGGCUCAGAACGAACGCUGGCGGCGUGUCUUAAGCAUGCAAGUCGAACGAGAACCUGAUUGGGGUUUGAUUUAUCAAACCCCUUAUGGUGAAAGUGGCGAACGGGUGAGUAACACGUGGGUAAUCUGCCCUUGGAUAGGGGAUAGCACUAGGAAACUAGUGGUAAUACCGCAUAUUGUUAUUCUAUCAUAAGAUAGAAUGAUAAAAGGUGCCCUCUGUAUAUGGUGCCGUCCGAGGAUGAGCCCGCGACCUAUUAGCUUGUUGGUAGGGUAAUUGCCUACCAAGGCUGCGAUCGGUAGCCGGCCUGAGAGGGUGAACGGCCACAUUGGGACUGAGACACGGCCCAGACUCCUACGGGAGGCAGCAGUGGGGAAUUUUGGGCAAUGGGGGAAACCCUGACCCAGCGACGCCGCGUGGAGGAUGAAGGCCUUCGGGUUGUAAACUCCUGUCAGGUGGGAAGAAGAGCUCAGUAGCUAAUAUCUACUGGGAANGGACG